This 347-nucleotide ribosomal RNA is filed under the name uncultured bacterium. RNAcentral's name for it is "partial 16S ribosomal RNA". It matches the Rfam family "Bacterial small subunit ribosomal RNA", at positions 338 to 682 of the family's 1533-position model. The record is from RNAcentral.
CCUACGGGCGGCAGCAGUGAGGAAUAUUGGUCAAUGGGCGGGAGCCUGAACCAGCCAAGUCGCGUGAGGGAAGACGGUCCUAUGGAUUGUAAACCUCUUUAGGCGGGGAGCAAGGCCGGGCACGCGUGCCCGGAGGGAGAGGACCCGCAGAAGAAGCAGCGGCGAACUCCGUGCCAGCAGCCGCGGGAAUACGGAGGAUGCGAGCGUGAGCCGGAUUUAUUGGGUUGAAAGGGUGCGUCGGCGGAUUUUUAAGUCAGCGGUAAACUGUCCGGGCUCAACCCGGGCCGGCCGUUGAAACUGGGGAUCUUGAGUGGGCGAGCAGUAUGCGGAAUGCGUGGUGUAGCGGU